Molecule: ribosomal RNA, 3231 nt
Filed under: Drosophila melanogaster (fruit fly)
Lineage: Eukaryota; Metazoa; Arthropoda; Insecta; Diptera; Drosophilidae
Description: eukaryotic LSU rRNA
Rfam family: Eukaryotic large subunit ribosomal RNA (bases 573-3231)
Source: RNAcentral
ACUCUAAGCGGUGGAUCACUCGGCUCAUGGGUCGAUGAAGAACGCAGCAAACUGUGCGUCAUCGUGUGAACUGCAGGACACAUGAACAUCGACAUUUUGAACGCAUAUCGCAGUCCAUGCUGUUAUGUACUUUAAUUAAUUUUAUAGUGCUGCUUGGACUACAUAUGGUUGAGGGUUGUAAGACUAUGCUAAUUAAGUUGCUUAUAAAUUUUUAUAAGCAUAUGGUAUAUUAUUGGAUAAAUAUAAUAAUUUUUAUUCAUAAUAUUAAAAAAUAAAUGAAAAACAUUAUCUCACAUUUGAAUGUGAAAAACGAAGAGAAAUAUUUUCUUUUUCAAUCAAAUAAUACUGAGAAAUGUCUAGCAUAAAAAAUUGAAAUAUUUUUCAUCUAGAAUUGUCUCUUAUUAAUGAUUCGGAAAUAGAAAAAUCUUGGUUAUGUUAUUAUUCUUCGUUGGUUCGUUAAAAAUGGAUAAAUAAAAACUUUGCAUACAAGAAUUAAUAAAAAUGUUAUAACGAAUUUAAUUAAAUGUUUUAUCAUUAUAUAUAAAGAAUUUAUGGCAAGAUAAAGUUAUAUACAACCUCAACUCAUAUGGGACUACCCCCUGAAUUUAAGCAUAUUAAUUAGGGGAGGAAAAGAAACUAACAAGGAUUUUCUUAGUAGCGGCGAGCGAAAAGAAAACAGUUCAGCACUAAGUCACUUUGUCUAUAUGGCAAAUGUGAGAUGCAGUGUAUGGAGCGUCAAUAUUCUAGUAUGAGAAAUUAACGAUUUAAGUCCUUCUUAAAUGAGGCCAUUUACCCAUAGAGGGUGCCAGGCCCGUAUAACGUUAAUGAUUACUAGAUGAUGUUUCCAAAGAGUCGUGUUGCUUGAUAGUGCAGCACUAAGUGGGUGGUAAACUCCAUCUAAAACUAAAUAUAACCAUGAGACCGAUAGUAAACAAGUACCGUGAGGGAAAGUUGAAAAGAACUCUGAAUAGAGAGUUAAACAGUACGUGAAACUGCUUAGAGGUUAAGCCCGAUGAACCUGAAUAUCCGUUAUGGAAAAUUCAUCAUUAAAAUUGUAAUAUUUAAAUAAUAUUAUGAGAAUAGUGUGCAUUUUUUCCAUAUAAGGACAUUGUAAUCUAUUAGCAUAUACCAAAUUUAUCAUAAAAUAUAACUUAUAGUUUAUUCCAAUUAAAUUGCUUGCAUUUUAACACAGAAUAAAUGUUAUUAAUUUGAUAAAGUGCUGAUAGAUUUAUAUGAUUACAGUGCGUUAAUUUUUCGGAAUUAUAUAAUGGCAUAAUUAUCAUUGAUUUUUGUGUUUAUUAUAUGCACUUGUAUGAUUAACAAUGCGAAAGAUUCAGGAUACCUUCGGGACCCGUCUUGAAACACGGACCAAGGAGUCUAACAUAUGUGCAAGUUAUUGGGAUAUAAACCUAAUAGCGUAAUUAACUUGACUAAUAAUGGGAUUAGUUUUUUAGCUAUUUAUAGCUAAUUAACACAAUCCCGGGGCGUUCUAUAUAGUUAUGUAUAAUGUAUAUUUAUAUUAUUUAUGCCUCUAACUGGAACGUACCUUGAGCAUAUAUGCUGUGACCCGAAAGAUGGUGAACUAUACUUGAUCAGGUUGAAGUCAGGGGAAACCCUGAUGGAAGACCGAAACAGUUCUGACGUGCAAAUCGAUUGUCAGAAUUGAGUAUAGGGGCGAAAGACCAAUCGAACCAUCUAGUAGCUGGUUCCUUCCGAAGUUUCCCUCAGGAUAGCUGGUGCAUUUUAAUAUUAUAUAAAAUAAUCUUAUCUGGUAAAGCGAAUGAUUAGAGGCCUUAGGGUCGAAACGAUCUUAACCUAUUCUCAAACUUUAAAUGGGUAAGAACCUUAACUUUCUUGAUAUGAAGUUCAAGGUUAUGAUAUAAUGUGCCCAGUGGGCCACUUUUGGUAAGCAGAACUGGCGCUGUGGGAUGAACCAAACGUAAUGUUACGGUGCCCAAAUUAACAACUCAUGCAGAUACCAUGAAAGGCGUUGGUUGCUUAAAACAGCAGGACGGUGAUCAUGGAAGUCGAAAUCCGCUAAGGAGUGUGUAACAACUCACCUGCCGAAGCAACUAGCCCUUAAAAUGGAUGGCGCUUAAGUUGUAUACCUAUACAUUACCGCUAAAGUAGAUGAUUUAUAUUACUUGUGAUAUAAAUUUUGAAACUUUAGUGAGUAGGAAGGUACAAUGGUAUGCGUAGAAGUGUUUGGCGUAAGCCUGCAUGGAGCUGCCAUUGGUACAGAUCUUGGUGGUAGUAGCAAAUAAUCGAAUGAGACCUUGGAGGACUGAAGUGGAGAAGGGUUUCGUGUGAACAGUGGUUGAUCACGAGUUAGUCGGUCCUAAGUUCAAGGCGAAAGCCGAAAAUUUUCAAGUAAAACAAAAAUGCCUAACUAUAUAAACAAAGCGAAUUAUAAUACACUUGAAUAAUUUUGAACGAAAGGGAAUACGGUUCCAAUUCCGUAACCUGUUGAGUAUCCGUUUGUUAUUAAAUAUGGGCCUCGUGCUCAUCCUGGCAACAGGAACGACCAUAAAGAAGCCGUCGAGAGAUAUCGGAAGAGUUUUCUUUUCUGUUUUAUAGCCGUACUACCAUGGAAGUCUUUCGCAGAGAGAUAUGGUAGAUGGGCUAGAAGAGCAUGACAUAUACUGUUGUGUCGAUAUUUUCUCCUCGGACCUUGAAAAUUUAUGGUGGGGACACGCAAACUUCUCAACAGGCCGUACCAAUAUCCGCAGCUGGUCUCCAAGGUGAAGAGUCUCUAGUCGAUAGAAUAAUGUAGGUAAGGGAAGUCGGCAAAUUAGAUCCGUAACUUCGGGAUAAGGAUUGGCUCUGAAGAUUGAGAUAGUCGGGCUUGAUUGGGAAACAAUAACAUGGUUUAUGUGCUCGUUCUGGGUAAAUAGAGUUUCUAGCAUUUAUGUUAGUUACUUGUUCCCCGGAUAGUUUAGUUACGUAGCCAAUUGUGGAACUUUCUUGCUAAAAUUUUUAAGAAUACUAUUUGGGUUAAACCAAUUAGUUCUUAUUAAUUAUAACGAUUAUCAAUUAACAAUCAAUUCAGAACUGGCACGGACUUGGGGAAUCCGACUGUCUAAUUAAAACAAAGCAUUGUGAUGGCCCUAGCAGUAGUGGUUGACUCACCGUGAUUUCCGCGCUUACUUGAAUUUCUUCACUUUGACAUUCAGAGCACUGGGCAGAAAUCACAUUGUGUCAACACCCGCUAGGGCCAUCACAAUGCUUUGU